Molecule: ribosomal RNA, 520 nt
Filed under: uncultured Glomus
Lineage: Eukaryota; Fungi; Glomeromycota; Glomeromycetes; Glomerales; Glomeraceae
Description: SSU rRNA
Rfam family: Eukaryotic small subunit ribosomal RNA
Source: RNAcentral
AGCAGCCGCGUAAUUCCAGCUCCAAUAGCGUAUAUUAAAGUUGUUGCAGUUAAAAAGCUCGUAGUUGAAUUUCGGGGUCAAUACGUCGGUCGUGCCUCCGGUAUGUACUGGUGUUAUUGAUCCCUCCCUUCUGAUAAACCAUGAUGUCAUUAAUUUGGCGUCGUGGGAAGUCAGGACUGUUACUUUGAAAAAAUUAGAGUGUUUAAAGCAGGCUCACGCUUGAAUACAUUAGCAUGGAAUAAUGAAAUAGGACGUUCGAUCCUAUUUUGUUGGUUUCUAGGAUCAACGUAAUGAUUAAUAGGGAUAGUUGGGGGCAUUAGUAUUCAAUUGUCAGAGGUGAAAUUCUUGGAUUUAUUGAAGACUAACUACUGCGAAAGCUUUUGCCAAGGAUGUUUUCAUUAAUCAAGAACGAAAGUUAGGGGAUCGAAGACGAUCAGAUACCGUCGUAGUCUUAACCAUAAACUAUGCCGACUAGGAUCGGAUGAUGUUAAUUUUUUAAUGACUCAUUCGGCGCUUACGG